Molecule: long non-coding RNA, 729 nt
Organism: Passer domesticus (house sparrow)
Lineage: Eukaryota; Metazoa; Chordata; Aves; Passeriformes; Passeridae
Exons: 2
Source: RefSeq, a predicted model, not a curated record
GUCACCCACCAUGAUUACCCUUUGCUCCUUUUUGAUGUUAGAGCUGGUAAUCCUCACAGAUGAAUCAUAAUUGGGACACUCACCGGACAGAUAAUUUUCUUCUAAAUCAUGUGGCUGGCUCUCUAGAUCCAGAGGCUCAUACCUAUUCUGAAGUGGCGCCUGGCUUGGGAGUGGGGGUCAGGAGCAAUUUUUAUUAUUACAUCCUUGAGCAGGUAUCGACUCCAACUCCCCUUCAUCUACCAGGUGUCCUUCUAUUGUCUGACAGUGGGAGGCAUAAAAGAGAGUGGGAACCAAGGAGAGCAUUGCUGUCCUGUGAGACCUCAGGGAUCCUCAAGGAUCCACUGUGACACUGAAGGGCCCAAGGAUCCAAGGGACUUUGUGACACCAAGGGGUUCCAUGGAACCAAAGGGACAUUGUGACCCAGGGAAGCCUCAUGGAAACAUGGAGGUCAUUGGAACACUCUGGGGCCUCAAGGAACUGUGGUGACACCAAGCUGGGUGUGAGUGUGGAUCUGCUGGAGGGUCAGAGGGCUCUGCACAGGAACCUGGACAGGCUGGAUCCAAGGCCCAAAUCCAACAAGUGUGGAAAGCUGCAGUUGGUGGCACACCUUGUGACAGAAGCUGCACCUCGUUCUCCAGGAAAGGUUCUUGGAAAAAGCAAACAGGACUGAGGAGAAGAUUCUAGAAAAACUGAAAGAGCUUUUAAGAUAUUAAAUGAAAACUGAAACAA